This 469-nucleotide ribosomal RNA is filed under the name uncultured bacterium. Its description in RNAcentral is "bacterial SSU rRNA". It matches the Rfam family "Bacterial small subunit ribosomal RNA", at positions 60 to 524 of the family's 1533-position model. The record is from RNAcentral.
AGUCGAGCGGUAGAGAGAAGCUUGCUUCUCUUGAGAGCGGCGGACGGGUGAGUAAUGCCUAGGAAUCUGCCUGGUAGUGGGGGAUAACGUUCGGAAACGGACGCUAAUACCGCAUACGUCCUACGGGAGAAAGCAGGGGACCUUCGGGCCUUGCGCUAUCAGAUGAGCCUAGGUCGGAUUAGCUAGUUGGUGAGGUAAUGGCUCACCAAGGCGACGAUCCGUAACUGGUCUGAGAGGAUGAUCAGUCACACUGGAACUGAGACACGGUCCAGACUCCUACGGGAGGCAGCAGUGGGGAAUAUUGGACAAUGGGCGAAAGCCUGAUCCAGCCAUGCCGCGUGUGUGAAGAAGGUCUUCGGAUUGUAAAGCACUUUAAGUUGGGAGGAAGGGCAGUUACCUAAUACGUGAUUGUUUUGACGUUACCGACAGAAUAAGCACCGGCUAACUCUGUGCCAGCAGCCGCGGUAAU